UUAAUAUUGUAGCCGAGAUCCGUUUUUAAGAAAACGGAUGCGGGGGACCCAAUUUUUCGGGGCGUAUUCCUUCAUGGAUAAGGCACUUCCAAGCCCGAGCCCGUCAGCUAACCUCGUAGGCAUGUGGAAGGGCAAUG
Molecule: small RNA, 137 nt
Filed under: Desulfobacteraceae bacterium
Lineage: Bacteria; Pseudomonadati; Thermodesulfobacteriota; Desulfobacteria; Desulfobacterales; Desulfobacteraceae
Description: c-di-AMP sequence
Rfam family: c-di-AMP riboswitch aptamer (ydaO/yuaA leader)
About the family: This family represents a conserved RNA structure found upstream of the ydaO and yuaA genes in Bacillus subtilis and related genes in other bacteria. The ydaO/yuaA element is thought to act as a genetic "off" switch for the ydaO and yuaA genes in its native state.
Source: RNAcentral